GUGGGGAAUAUUGGACAAUGGGCGCAAGCCUGAUCCAGCCAUGCCGCGUGAGUGAUGAAGGCCUUAGGGUUGUAAUGCUCUUUCAGUGGGGACGAUAAUGACGGUACCCACAGAAGAAGCCCCGGCUAACUUCGUGCCAGCAGCCGCGGUAAUACGAAGGGGGCUAGCGUUGUUCGGAUUUACUGGGCGUAAAGCGCACGUAGGCGGAUCGUUAAGUCGGGGGUGAAAUCCUGGAGCUCAACUCCAGAACUGCCUUCGAUACUGGCGAUCUUGAGUCCGGAAGAGGUGAGUGGAACUCCUAGUGUAGAGGUGGAAUUCGUAGAUAUUAGGAAGAACACCAGUGGCGAAGGCGGCUCACUGGUCCGGUACUGACGCUGAGGUGCGAAAGCGUGGGGAGCAAACAGGAUUAGAUACCCCAGUAGUCC
RNAcentral lists this ribosomal RNA (425 nucleotides) under uncultured bacterium. RNAcentral describes it as "partial 16S ribosomal RNA". It matches the Rfam family "Bacterial small subunit ribosomal RNA", at positions 354 to 796 of the family's 1533-position model. The record is from RNAcentral.